RNAcentral lists this ribosomal RNA (269 nucleotides) under uncultured prokaryote. RNAcentral describes it as "partial 16S ribosomal RNA". It matches the Rfam family "Bacterial small subunit ribosomal RNA", at positions 524 to 792 of the family's 1533-position model. The record is from RNAcentral.
UACGGAGGGUGCAAGCGUUAUUCGGAUUUAUUGGGCGUAAAGAGCGUGUAGGCGGUUGGGUAAGUCAGAUGUGAAAGCCUUCCGCUCAACGGAAGAAGUACAUCUGAAACUGCCCGACUUGAGUACGAGAGAGGAAAGUGGAAUUCCCAGUGUAGAGGUGAAAUUCAUAGAUAUUGGGAGGAACACCUGUGGCGAAGGCGACUUUCUGGAUCGAUACUGACGCUGAGACGCGAAAGCGUGGGGAGCAAACAGGAUUAGAUACCCGCGUA